Molecule: small nuclear RNA, 107 nt
Organism: Pongo abelii (Sumatran orangutan)
Lineage: Eukaryota; Metazoa; Chordata; Mammalia; Primates; Hominidae
Source: Ensembl
GUGCUUGCUUUGGCAGCACAUAUACUAAUAUUGAAAAACUAUAGAGAAGAUAAGCAUGGCUCCUGCUCAAGGAUAACCCAAAAAUUCAUGAAAUGUUUCAUAUUUCU